Pelobates cultripes (western spadefoot toad) is the source of this 295-nucleotide non-coding RNA. The record is from the annotation of a GenBank genome assembly. Lineage: Eukaryota; Metazoa; Chordata; Amphibia; Anura; Pelobatidae.
GGGGUGACUAGUGACAGAGUGAGGGAGGGAGUGGGUGACUAGUGAGAGUGAGGAAGGGGGUGACACAGUGAGGAAGGGGGUGACACAGUGACAGAGUGAGGGAGGGGGUGACUAGUGACAGAGUGAAGGAGGUGGUGACUGUCACUAGUCACCCCAUCCCUCCCUCUGUCACUAAUCACCACCUCCCUCACUCUGUCACUAGUCACCCCUUCCCUCCCUCUCUCUGUCACUAGUCACCCCCUCCCUCUCUCUGUCACUAGUCACACCCUCCCUCACUCUGUCACUAGUCACACCC